This 497-nucleotide ribosomal RNA is filed under the name uncultured bacterium. Its description in RNAcentral is "partial 16S ribosomal RNA". It matches the Rfam family "Bacterial small subunit ribosomal RNA", at positions 28 to 507 of the family's 1533-position model. The record is from RNAcentral.
GAUGAACGCUGGCGGCGUGCCUAAUACGUGCAAGUCGAGCGAACAGAUGAGGAGCUUGCUCCUCUGACGUUAGCGGCGAACGGGUGAGUAACACGUGGAUAACCUACCUAUAAGACUGGGAUAACUUCGGGAAACCGGAGCUAAUACCGGAUAAUAUAUUGAACCGCAUGGUUCAAUAGUGAAAGACGGUUUUGCUGUCACUUAUAGAUGGAUCCGCGCCGCAUUAGCUAGUUGGUAAGGUAACGGCUUACCAAGGCAACGAUGCGUAGCCGACCUGAGAGGGUGAUCGGCCACACUGGAACUGAGACACGGUCCAGACUCCUACGGGAGGCAGCAGUAGGGAAUCUUCCGCAAUGGGCGAAAGCCUGACGGAGCAACGCCGCGUGAGUGAUGAAGGUCUUCGGAUCGUAAAACUCUGUUAUUAGGGAAGAACAAAUGUGUAAGUAACUAUGCACGUCUUGACGGUACCUAAUCAGAAAGCCACGGCUAACUACGUG